UACGGAGGGGGCAAGCGUUGUUCGGAAUUACUGGGCGUAAAGCGCGCGUAGGCGGCGAUGCAAGUCAGAGGUGAAAUGCCCGGGCUCAACCUGGGAGGUGCCUUUGAUACUGUGUUGCUUGGAUCCAGGAGAGGUGAGCGGAAUUCCGAGUGUAGAGGUGAAAUUCGUAGAUAUUCGGAAGAACACCAGUGGCGAAGGCGGCUCACUGGCCUGGUAUCGACGCUGAGGUGACGACAGGCGUGGGGACAGCAAACGAGGUAUUACCGGAUACCCGCGUAGUCC
RNAcentral lists this ribosomal RNA (282 nucleotides) under uncultured bacterium. RNAcentral describes it as "partial 16S ribosomal RNA". It matches the Rfam family "Bacterial small subunit ribosomal RNA", at positions 524 to 796 of the family's 1533-position model. The record is from RNAcentral.